Molecule: ribosomal RNA, 465 nt
Filed under: Vreelandella stevensii
Lineage: Bacteria; Pseudomonadati; Pseudomonadota; Gammaproteobacteria; Oceanospirillales; Halomonadaceae
Description: partial 16S ribosomal RNA
Rfam family: Bacterial small subunit ribosomal RNA
Source: RNAcentral
CCUACGGGGGGCAGCAGUGGGGAAUAUUGGACAAUGGGGGCAACCCUGAUCCAGCCAUGCCGCGUGGGUGAAGAAGGCCCUCGGGUUGUAAAGCACUUUCAGUGAGGAAGAACGCCUGGUGGUUAAUACCCAUCAGGAAAGACAUCACUCACAGAAGAAGCACCGGCUAACUCCGUGCCAGCAGCCGCGGUAAUACGGAGGGUGCGAGCGUUAAUCGGAAUUACUGGGCGUAAAGCGCGCGUAGGUGGCUUGAUAAGCCGGUUGUGAAAGCCCCGGGCUCAACCUGGGAACGGCAUCCGGAACUGUCAAGCUAGAGUGCAGGAGAGGAAGGUAGAAUUCCCGGUGUAGCGGUGAAAUGCGUAGAGAUCGGGAGGAAUACCAGUGGCGAAGGCGGCCUUCUGGACUGACACUGACACUGAGGUGCGAAAGCGUGGGUAGCAAACAGGAUUAGAUACCCUAGUAGUC